CCUACGGGACGCAGCAGUGGGGAAUAUUGGACAAUGGGCGAAGGCCUGAUCCAGCAAUGCCGCGUGUGUGAAGAAGGUCUUCGGAUUGUAAAGCACUUUAGACGGGGACGAUGAUGACGGUCCCCGUAGAAGAAGCCCCGGCUAACUUCGUGCCAGCAGCCGCGGUAAUACGAAGGGGGCUAGCGUUGCUCGGAAUGACUGGGCGUAAAGGGCGCGUAGGCGGUUUAUGCAGUCAGAUGUGAAAUCCCCGGGCUUAACCUGGGAACUCCAUUUGAGACGCAUAGACUAGACGUCGAGAGAGGGUUGUGGAAUUCCCAGUGUAGAGGUGAAAUUCGUAGAUAUUGGGAAGAACACCGGUGGCGAAGGCGGCAACCUGGCUCGAUACUGAUGCUGAGGCGCGAAAGCGUGGGGAGCAAACAGGAUUAGAUACCCCAGUAGUC
This 440-nucleotide ribosomal RNA is filed under the name uncultured bacterium. Its description in RNAcentral is "bacterial SSU rRNA". It matches the Rfam family "Bacterial small subunit ribosomal RNA", at positions 338 to 795 of the family's 1533-position model. The record is from RNAcentral.